AUGAUAAGAGAGACUUUGUUGCUAGGAAACAUGGUAAAAGAAAGGGAGCCAUGGGUUCAGAAACCCAUGCCUUUUCCUCCCAAACCAUUCAAGAAAAAGGAUGAUGAGGAUUUUGAGCGCUUUGCUAAAAUGAUUAGACCUAUCUUUUUGCGUAUGCGAUUGACUGAUAUGCUCAAAAUGAAUCCUUAUGCUAAGUACAUGAAAGAAAUUGUUACUAAUAAAAGAAAGAUACCGGAAGCUAAAAUUUCCACCAUGCUUGCUAAUUACACUUUUAAGGGUGGAAUACCUAAGAAACUAGGAGAU
RNAcentral lists this ribosomal RNA (303 nucleotides) under Triticum aestivum (bread wheat). RNAcentral's name for it is "partial small subunit ribosomal RNA". The record is from RNAcentral. Lineage: Eukaryota; Viridiplantae; Streptophyta; Magnoliopsida; Poales; Poaceae.